Molecule: transfer RNA, 69 nt
Filed under: Chitra vandijki
Lineage: Eukaryota; Metazoa; Chordata; Testudines; Trionychidae
Description: tRNA-Ala
Rfam family: tRNA
About the family: Transfer RNA (tRNA) molecules are approximately 80 nucleotides in length. Their secondary structure includes four short double-helical elements and three loops (D, anti-codon, and T loops). Further hydrogen bonds mediate the characteristic L-shaped molecular structure. tRNAs have two regions of fundamental functional importance: the anti-codon, which is responsible for specific mRNA codon recognition, and the 3' end, to which the tRNAs corresponding amino acid is attached (by aminoacyl-tRNA synthetases). tRNAs cope with the degeneracy of the genetic code in two manners: having more than one tRNA (with a specific anti-codon) for a particular amino acid; and 'wobble' base-pairing, i.e. permitting non-standard base-pairing at the 3rd anti-codon position.
Source: RNAcentral
GAGGCUUUGGCUUAAUUAAAGUGUCUGAGUUGCAUUCAGGAGAUGUAGGAUAAAGUCUUACAAGUCUUA